This 1463-nucleotide ribosomal RNA is filed under the name uncultured Klebsiella sp. RNAcentral's name for it is "bacterial SSU rRNA". It matches the Rfam family "Bacterial small subunit ribosomal RNA". Lineage: Bacteria; Pseudomonadati; Pseudomonadota; Gammaproteobacteria; Enterobacterales; Enterobacteriaceae. The record is from RNAcentral.
AUUGAACGCUGGCGGCAGGCCUAACACAUGCAAGUCGAGCGGUAGCACAGAGAGCUUGCUCUCGGGUGACGAGCGGCGGACGGGUGAGUAAUGUCUGGGAAACUGCCUGAUGGAGGGGGAUAACUACUGGAAACGGUAGCUAAUACCGCAUAAUGUCGCAAGACCAAAGUGGGGGACCUUCGGGCCUCAUGCCAUCAGAUGUGCCCAGAUGGGAUUAGCUAGUAGGUGGGGUAACGGCUCACCUAGGCGACGAUCCCUAGCUGGUCUGAGAGGAUGACCAGCCACACUGGAACUGAGACACGGUCCAGACUCCUACGGGAGGCAGCAGUGGGGAAUAUUGCACAAUGGGCGCAAGCCUGAUGCAGCCAUGCCGCGUGUGUGAAGAAGGCCUUCGGGUUGUAAAGCACUUUCAGCGGGGAGGAAGGCGUUAAGGUUAAUAACCUUGGCGAUUGACGUUACCCGCAGAAGAAGCACCGGCUAACUCCGUGCCAGCAGCCGCGGUAAUACGGAGGGUGCAAGCGUUAAUCGGAAUUACUGGGCGUAAAGCGCACGCAGGCGGUCUGUCAAGUCGGAUGUGAAAUCCCCGGGCUCAACCUGGGAACUGCAUUCGAAACUGGCAGGCUAGAGUCUUGUAGAGGGGGGUAGAAUUCCAGGUGUAGCGGUGAAAUGCGUAGAGAUCUGAAGGAAUACCGGUGGCGAAGGCGGCCCCCUGGACAAAGACUGACGCUCAGGUGCGAAAGCGUGGGGAGCAAACAGGAUUAGAUACCCUGGUAGUCCACGCCGUAAACGAUGUCGAUUUGGAGGUUGUGCCCUUGAGGCGUGGCUUCCGGAGCUAACGCGUUAAAUCGACCGCCUGGGGAGUACGGCCGCAAGGUUAAAACUCAAAUGAAUUGACGGGGGCCCGCACAAGCGGUGGAGCAUGUGGUUUAAUUCGAUGCAACGCGAAGAACCUUACCUGGUCUUGACAUCCACAGAACUUUCCAGAGAUGGAUUGGUGCCUUCGGGAACUGUGAGACAGGUGCUGCAUGGCUGUCGUCAGCUCGUGUUGUAAAAUGUUGGGUUAAGUCCCGCAACGAGCGCAACCCUUAUCCUUUGUUGCCAGCGGUUCGGCCGGGAACUCAAAGGAGACUGCCAGUGAUAAACUGGAGGAAGGUGGGGAUGACGUCAAGUCAUCAUGGCCCUUACGACCAGGGCUACACACGUGCUACAAUGGCAUAUACAAAGAGAAGCGACCUCGCGAGAGCAAGCGGACCUCAUAAAGUAUGUCGUAGUCCGGAUUGGAGUCUGCAACUCGACUCCAUGAAGUCGGAAUCGCUAGUAAUCGUAGAUCAGAAUGCUACGGUGAAUACGUUCCCGGGCCUUGUACACACCGCCCGUCACACCAUGGGAGUGGGUUGCAAAAGAAGUAGGUAGCUUAACCUUCGGGAGGGCGCUUACCACUUUGUGAUUCAUGACUGGGGUGA